Capsicum annuum is the source of this 1633-nucleotide long non-coding RNA. RefSeq lists it as uncharacterized. The transcript has 3 exons. Lineage: Eukaryota; Viridiplantae; Streptophyta; Magnoliopsida; Solanales; Solanaceae. The record is from RefSeq and is a predicted model, not a curated record.
AAAAGUAGAAUUGGGGUUUCCUCUACAAUGUUUUUCGUUUUCUCUCUUUUUUUUACAUCUUUUUCCAUUAGUUUCCCCCAAAACCCUUAAUUUUCAUCUUCUUAAUUUCGUCAUAGGCAGAAACAGUCGCAUUCACUGAGAGAGUUCGAAUUCAAUUUCUUCCACAAGCACUUAGUUCAUCUCAAUUUCGAUUCUUCUUCUUCACUCGUUGAGGAGGAGAGGCCUCAAUACUUAAUAUGAUGAACAGUCCACUCGGAGAUAAAUACGACCUGGGAACUGGAGAUGUUUAGUAAGAAAGGUAUCUUAUUUGAUGGGGUAUUGCCCUGCAAGUUGUCAUGGUGAAGCAGACUAAGGCCAAGCAGGCGCUGCUGAGUUAUAUUUUGUGCAGGGUCGAGACUAACAGCUAUCCACUCGGUAUAUGUUGCAUUGUUGCAUCCAACUGCUAUUGAGUGUCGUAUUGGUUCUUGUGAACCUAGGGACAUAGCCUUUUAGUGUCUCAAUAAUUUGGUUAGGCACUUUGACAAUUUAUCUUGCAGAAUUUCUUCUUUAGGUUUGAAAUAUUUUUUUAAUACAAUAUAUUCUUUUCCUAGGAUAACUUAGUACUUAAUGCCUCUUAUAGAUAAUAGAAUUCAGUUUUAGCCUUUUAUACCGGCAAGUCACAUCAUUAGUUUAAGAUGAUUUGACUUACCAUCUACAACUCUUUUUACGCUGAUGUGUUAGUUUAUAUCAGCAGGGUAACUUAUUAGUUUACGCCCUUUUCAUCAAAUUAGAAUCCAGAGUUGUGCUUGAAGUUUGUUAGUUGUUAGUGAAACUGGUGGUCUAGGCACUAGUCCAAGCAAGCAUACCGGUGGUUCCAGGUUAACAGUGGAGCAUACUAUAAAAUUAGUAAAUUUUGUACUUUAAUACUUCCUCCGUCCCAUUUUAUGUGUCAUCAUUUCCUUUUUGGUCCGUCCCAAAAAAAAAGUCAUCUUUCCUUAUUUGGUAACUAGUAAAACACACAAUUCCAGUUUUACCUUUAUUGGUCCCACUUAAUUAAAAAAAAAGUUAGUAGCACAUUUUUUGAUGGGCAAUUUGGUAAAAAUUACCAAGUCUUUCUUUAUUUCUUAAACUUUGUGCCCGAUCAAAUGGUAAAACAUAAAAUAGGACGGAGGGAGUAGAUUAAUUCUUUGACUUUAUCUCCGAUUUUAAUGUUGAACUUUUUUUCAUGCAACUGAAAUGGGCCGUGAACCAAAUUCAUGGGAGAUAUUUAAGAAGUUGCACCCAAAAAAGGAUGACAGUUUUGUUGAUGCCAAGUCGAAGAGCAUUAAUGGUCACUUGUUAAGAAUCAGCUGGUAAAUCAUCUUGCACUUGGUAUUGCCUUGCGAGCUGUCUUGGAUGCAUUGCGCAAGCCUGCUGAUUCAAGGGUUUAUUUUCAGUGAUUACGCUUAUUUUAAAUGUUAUUUCUGGUUCAUAUUUGAUAGCUUCCUUGAGGAGUGCUUUGUUUAUCGAUAUACCUGUAGUCGUACUGUCAUGCAUGUGUCUUGUAGUUUCUUAUUUAUGGUGUUUUGGUGAUGUUUGGGAUUUCGGAUAGAUAGUUCAUAGUAUUACUCUGUGGAUGUCUUGUUUUUUUAUUAUCAAGUGGUGUGUUACCCCA